RNAcentral lists this ribosomal RNA (3186 nucleotides) under Phacus ranula. Its description in RNAcentral is "partial large subunit ribosomal RNA". It matches the Rfam family "Eukaryotic large subunit ribosomal RNA", at positions 33 to 2403 of the family's 3401-position model. Lineage: Eukaryota; Euglenozoa; Euglenophyceae; Euglenales; Phacaceae. The record is from RNAcentral.
UUUAAGCAUAUCACUCAGUGGAGGAAUCCCAAGCAACUGCGAUUGCUUCAGUAACGGCGAGUGAACUGGCAAAGCACAUGGCUCAACCCGAAGGAGACCAUAUCCCCCGUCACUGCCUCGGCAGGUGUGCGGUCGGCUACUGCGGGUCUCAGAGGCUGUGGGUUCUGGAUCGGUCGGCAUGCCCGUGGGCCGGUUGUGAUGCCUGGAAUGGCCCUGGAAUGGCUUACAACAGAGGGAUACUGUCCCGUACACCUUGCAGUGUGUCAUGACCGCCCAUGGUAUGUCCGGCCGAGUCCCCGAGUAGAGCGGCUUGGGACUGCAGUUUGAAGUGCGGGGUGUAUCCCCUGCAAGGAGCAAUACCACCGUGGGACCGAUAGUGCACAAGUAGAGUGAUUGAAGGAUGCAAAGAACUUUGCAAAGAGGGUUAAAAGUCCCUGAAGCCUCGGCAGGAACGGCGGUGUGCGGUGCUGUGAUCAAUGUGAACCAAGCGGCCUUGGGCCAGCCCGGUGCUGGCCACUGAGCCCUCUCCCUCGGGAACGGAUGCAGUCGUGGCAGUCACGUGGUGGCAAGCAAGCCUGUCAGGGCCUGAGGCUAUGUCUGAGGAAUGCUGUGCAGCUGUGGGGAACCCGUGUCACCCCUCUCGGGGCAAGUUGAGUUUGCAAGGAACGGUUGAAUGCGGUGCUGGAACCUGGUGUGUCUCCGGGCAUGCCAGUCGCUGUUGCCCAGUCACGGCCGGGGCUGUUGUUGGUACGGGGACUGCACCACCCGUUGGUGGCCCUCUGCCUCCACCGGCCCUCCGGAUGGUGCACAGUGCAGAUCAAGGCAGCCGAGCUUGGUGCAGCAGUGCCGCUCUCUGCCCGUCUUGAAACACGGACCAAGGAGUCUAUGGAGCUUGCAGGUUGGCUGGUGCAAUCAUGGAAAACCGGCAAGGCCCGGUGAAAGCAAUGUCACAGACCAGACGGAGUGCAUGCCGAUGAAUGCGGGACAAGUCUGCAAUGCUGAUGGCUAUCUGUAGUGUUCCCUCUUCGGAGAGGACUGUGAUGGUGACCCUCUGCUGUGGCCAAGUCCUUGCUGUCGAAUGCACCUCUGCAUGGGCCACCGGCCCUGAUGUCCCUUGGACUGGGUUUUGAGUGAAUGCAAGUUCCAUGGGACCCGAAAGGUGGUGAACUAUACCGUUCCACGACGAAGCCAUGGGAAACUGUGGUGGAGGUCGGUCGCUGUUCUGACGUGCAAAUUGUGUAGCCUGAGUGCGGCAUAGGGGUGAAAGGCCAAUCGAGCCACCUAGUAGCUGGUUUCCCUCGAAGUUUCCCUCAGGAUAGCUGGGCUCGAAAUGCAACCCUGCCGAGUGGUUCCGUCCGGUAAAGCAACGCAUGAGAGGCAUCUGCGGGGAGUCCUUGCUCCUCGACCUAUUCUCGAACUGUGAAUGGGCGUGGCAAACCCAUACAAAGGCAUGCUUCUUCAACUGUGCUGGAGCCCGGGUCAACCGGUCCUCCUGGUCCUUCUGAGCGUGUUCGAAGGUGGCAGAGCUACAGUGAAGGGACACAGCUUGGCAAUCCUUCCUGGCUGGGUGUGUCUCAACCGUGGAGCCACCCGUCUGUGCUGUGUGACCACUGUGGAACCCUUGCCCUUGGGUGAUCGAUGCAGAGGGAGUGCUGCUGCUGCUGUGGUGAACAAGUGUGCCUAUGUGGGCCAAGAUUGGUAAGCAGUGCUGGCGAUGCGGGGUGCUCCGAGAGUGGACUUACAGAUCCCGAGUGCUGGCUCAUACUCAGAUCCCACAAAGGGUGUCGCUUGCUAUGGAUAGCAGGUCGGUGGCCAUGAAGGUUGGAACCCGCUAAGGAAUGUGUAACAACUCACCUGCCGAAGUGUGCAGUCCCGAAAAUGGAUGGUGCCCAAGUCAGUGAAGCUGAAUUUGCCUUACAGUCUGCCGCCACUGUGGCAGCACUGAGCAGAGCAUUGUUGUGUAGAAAGGACAUGGGAGCUUGCAGUGCCAGUCAGGGGCAACCCUGGCCGGAGUGGCUUCUAGCGCAGAUCUUGGUUGUAGUAGCAAGUACUCCAUCUGACGAGAGGCGGAAACCCCGCCGUGUGUGGUUGAGGACUGGAGUGGAGCAGGUUUCCGCACCAAACAGCCGUUGAAUGCGGGUCAACCGACCGUGAGCCAAGUGGUAAGUCACCGAACAACCAAAGCCGCCGUUCUUCCCGGGGACGGCCCUGUGGCAAAGCUUGCCGCAGCCCCGGGACUUGGUCUGGUGGGAGUGGCAAACAGGCAAGCAUGGGCAACAUUCUGCUGUGACGGGCCUGGAGCCUCAUCUGAAGGGUGGCGACGCCAAGUGAUCGGAGCAAGCAGGCUGCGGGGCAGUGCACCCCCUGGGGAGUUCUCGUUUCCUCCUGAUGCAGACUCAUGUGGACUAUCGAUUGGCAUGACAGAUGGUGACCUAUGUCCUCCGUUCAGCAAGACAGUGCACCUUGUGUGUGCUGAUGGUGUGCUUGACUCGGAACACUGGUCCCUUCUGCAGGGAAGACUGCUCUCUCUGGUGGACACUGGCUCCACUGAACCGCCUGUGGGACACCGUGCUCCUGGUCCCUUGUCCCCGUACUGAAUCACCGCAGCCGGUCUCCCCGGCUAGACGCCGCUGGUCGAACGGAUUGAAUGCAGCUAAGGGAAGUCGGCAAACUAGCCGUGUACCUUCGGAAGAUGCGGUGGCUCCAGAGGCCAAGUCACUGAGUCUCUCUGUGGACGGAUGUUUCAACCGGGGAUGGCUGCCCCUUCUGGUGUUCUCAUCGGGCCCUGGUCAGGGGAAACCAGCUGCCCUCAGUGUGCUCUGUGUUGCGGGGAGGGACUGUCUUGCCUUCGGGCGGGGCGGCCCGCCUCAGUGUCUGCCAAGUGGCCCACAUGGAACUGUUGCUGUGCAGGGGAAUCUGACUGUUUAAUUGAAACCCAGCUUUGUGACGGGACCAGCUGGCUGCUCCCAUGAGGUGACUUCUGCCCAGUGCUCUGAUUGUCAAUGCAAAGAGAUUUAGCCAAGCGCGGGUAAACGGCGGGAGUAACUAUGACUCUCUUAAGGUAGCCAAAUGCCUCGUCAACCAAUUAUUGACGCGCAUGAAUGGAUCAACGAGAUUCCUGCUGUCCCUAGGUGCUGUCCGGUGAACCAACAGCCAAGGGAACGGGCUUGGAUGUGUCACCGGAAA